ACAAACUCGUAUGUAAAAGAAUGUAGAUCUAGUGCGUAAGCACGAAAUAAACAACUUUCAACAACGGAUCUCUUGGCUCUCGCAUCGAUGAAGAACGCAGCGAAAUGCGAUAAGUAAUGUGAAUUGCAGAAUUCAGUGAAUCAUCGAAUCUUUG
This 154-nucleotide ribosomal RNA is filed under the name Chaetospermum camelliae. RNAcentral describes it as "5.8S ribosomal RNA". The stretch from base 53 to 154 matches the Rfam family "5.8S ribosomal RNA", at positions 1 to 102 of the family's 154-position model. From Rfam's summary of the family: 5.8S ribosomal RNA (5.8S rRNA) is a component of the large subunit of the eukaryotic ribosome. It is transcribed by RNA polymerase I as part of the 45S precursor that also contains 18S and 28S rRNA. The record is from RNAcentral. Lineage: Eukaryota; Fungi; Basidiomycota; Agaricomycetes; Sebacinales; Sebacinaceae.